RNAcentral lists this transfer RNA (77 nucleotides) under Rhinolophus luctus (Woolly horseshoe bat). RNAcentral's name for it is "tRNA-Val". The stretch from base 1 to 68 matches the Rfam family "tRNA". Rfam says of the family: Transfer RNA (tRNA) molecules are approximately 80 nucleotides in length. Their secondary structure includes four short double-helical elements and three loops (D, anti-codon, and T loops). Further hydrogen bonds mediate the characteristic L-shaped molecular structure. tRNAs have two regions of fundamental functional importance: the anti-codon, which is responsible for specific mRNA codon recognition, and the 3' end, to which the tRNAs corresponding amino acid is attached (by aminoacyl-tRNA synthetases). tRNAs cope with the degeneracy of the genetic code in two manners: having more than one tRNA (with a specific anti-codon) for a particular amino acid; and 'wobble' base-pairing, i.e. permitting non-standard base-pairing at the 3rd anti-codon position. Lineage: Eukaryota; Metazoa; Chordata; Mammalia; Chiroptera; Rhinolophidae. The record is from RNAcentral.
CAAAGUGUAGCUUAAACCAAAGCACCUGGCUUACACCCAGGAGACUUCACACACAAUGAACACUUUGAACAAGUGCU